RNAcentral lists this ribosomal RNA (253 nucleotides) under uncultured bacterium. RNAcentral's name for it is "partial 16S ribosomal RNA". It matches the Rfam family "Bacterial small subunit ribosomal RNA", at positions 524 to 776 of the family's 1533-position model. The record is from RNAcentral.
GACAGAGGGUGCAAACGUUGCUCGGAAUCACUGGGCGUAAAGGGCGUGUAGGCGGGAAGGAAAGUCAGAUGUGAAAUCCCCAGGCUCAACCUGGGAACUGCAUUUGAAACUCCCUUUCUUGAGUACCGGAGAGGAAAGUGGAAUUCCUGGUGUAGAGGUGAAAUUCGUAGAUAUGACAUAGAACACCAAUUGCGAAGGCAGCUCGCUACACGAAGAUUGACUCUGAGGCACGAAAGCGUGGGGAUCAAACAGG